AUGAAGAACGCAGCGAAAUGCGAUACGUAAUGUGAAUUGCAGAAUUCAGUGAAUCAUCGAAUCUUUGAACGCAUAUUGCGCUCUCUGGUAUUCCGGAGAGCAUGCUUGUUUGAGUAUCAGUAAACACCUCAACUUCCAUAUCUUUUUUGAAAUGGGAGUUGGACUUGAGUGAUCCCAACGCUUUUCCUCACCGAAAAGUGGCGGGUUACUUGAAAUGCAGGUGCAGCUGGACUUUUCUCUGAGCUAUAAGCAUAUCUAUGUAGGCUGCCUAAAAAACAGAUUAUUACCUUUGCUGCAGCUAACAUAAAGGAGAUUAGUUCUUGUGCUGACUGAUGCAGGAUUCACAAAGACGGCUUCGGCCGACUUUGUAAACUCGAUCUCAAAUCAAGUAAGACUACCCGCUGAACUUAAGCAUAUCAAUAAGCGGAGGA
Molecule: unclassified non-coding RNA, 431 nt
Filed under: soil metagenome
Description: partial contains 5.8S ribosomal RNA, internal transcribed spacer 2, and large subunit ribosomal RNA
Rfam family: 5.8S ribosomal RNA (bases 1-119)
Source: RNAcentral